This is a long non-coding RNA of Pistacia vera, 251 nucleotides long. RefSeq lists it as uncharacterized. The transcript is spliced from 3 exons. NCBI's taxonomy places the organism in Eukaryota, Viridiplantae, Streptophyta, Magnoliopsida, Sapindales, Anacardiaceae. The record is from RefSeq and is a predicted model, not a curated record.
UACACUCUCUUCCACUUCGUGGCUGUGACCUGUAAGUUUGUGAGAAAUGGAGAAAAUGGGUGAUCUUGUCGGGUCAAGACAAUCGGAUCUUAACAAGUCUUUGAAGCUCGCAAUUCGUUCUCUUCUCACUACUUGCUCAAAACAAGAAUUCAGCAAAGCAUUCAAUAACUUUACUUCUUCUGAGCAAGACUCCCUCCACCGCCUAUUCAUCCAGGUGAUUACUUUUUUGCAUGAAAAAAUUGAGGUAUGAU